RNAcentral lists this ribosomal RNA (370 nucleotides) under uncultured eukaryote. Its description in RNAcentral is "partial 18S ribosomal RNA". It matches the Rfam family "Eukaryotic small subunit ribosomal RNA", at positions 592 to 976 of the family's 1831-position model. The record is from RNAcentral.
CAAUAGCGUAUAUUAAAGUUGUUGCAGUUAAAAAGCUCGUAGUUGGACCUUGGACCUGGACAGGCGGUCCGCCUCACGGCGUGUACUGUCUUGCUGGGUCUUUCCUCUUGGUGAUCUGUUGUUUCGGCAGCAGGGAACCAGGACUUUUACUUUGAAAAAAUUAGAGUGUUCAAAGCAGGCUCGUCGCCGGAAUAUAUUAGCAUGGAAUAAUAAAAUAGGACGUGCGGUUCUAUUUUGUUGGUUUUUGGAAUCGCCGUAAUGAUUAAUAGGGACAGUCGGGGGCAUUAGUACUCACAUGCUAGAGGUGAAAUUCUUGGAUUUUGUGAAGACUAACUUCUGCGAAAGCAUUUGCCAAGGAUGUUUUCAUUAA